This 1182-nucleotide ribosomal RNA is filed under the name Triticum aestivum (bread wheat). RNAcentral describes it as "partial small subunit ribosomal RNA". Lineage: Eukaryota; Viridiplantae; Streptophyta; Magnoliopsida; Poales; Poaceae. The record is from RNAcentral.
AUGGCGAUCCGUCUCCUGUCGCGUCAAAAUCUGAGGAAGCUGGCUGCUUCCUUCACACUCCUUAAUCCAUCCCAGAAGAUACUGCUUUCACCUCCCCCUCCUGCUCACAGAUCUGAUGCUAUUUCCCCUAGCAAAUGCUUAAGCCCCUUUUACCCGUCUAUGUAUUCACGGGGUGUUAGAUGGGCUAGCUAUGAAUCAGUGAAUCUGGUUUUGUCUGAUGAUGGGAAACCCAAGUUUGAGAUUGAGGAGGUGGAGCCUUCGAAGAAGGGGAGGUUUUUAACAAAGAGGCGUUUGAAGCUUCAGAGGAAGCGGGAAAAGAGGAAGAGGAAGGAGGCCAAUAAAAACGAUCCACGCCGUAUCAGACCCAAGGGGAAAAAAAUAAAACAGAAAUUUCCUACACCUGAAGCUCGGCUCAAAUACAAGAUCGAGAAGUCCAAAUUAAAAGAAGCUAUGUUGGUUGAGAAGCUAAAGAGGUAUGAGGUUGCGAAAGCUGAAGGCCCCGUCGCCAAACCAGACGAUCUUGAUGGUGAGGAAAGAUUUUAUUUGAAGAAAGUUUCACAGAAAAAGUCAAACUAUGUCCCGAUUGGAAGGCGAGGAGUAUUUGGGGGUGUAAUUCUGAACAUGCAUUUGCACUGGAAGAAACAUGAGACUGUCAAGGUCAUCUGUAAGCCCUGCAAACCAGGGCAAAUCCAGGAGUAUGCAAAUGAGAUAGCUCGGCUUAGUGGUGGUGUCCCUAUUAAUGUUAUUGGAAAUGACACCAUAGUCUUCUACCGAGGAAAGGACUAUGUUCAACCAGAAGUCAUGUCACCAAUUGAUACACUGUCAAAGAAAAAGGCACUUGAAAAAUCAAAAUAUGAACAAUCGCUGGAGACAGUUCGGCGUUUCAUCGCAAUCUCUGAAAAGGAGCUCGAACUAUACUAUCGGCAUGUUGCACUCUAUGGAAAACCACAACCCCAGAAUGCUGAUCUGGCUCAUGGUGGUGGCAUCCAAGCUUCUUCACUGGAAACAGAGGAUAUGAAGCACGGAAAGGAUCAAGCUUUCUCUGAUGUUGACAUCAUGGAUACAUCCGAGUCUGAUGAGGAACAUGAUUCUAGUAGUGAAUCUGAUGCCAAUGAUGUUGCAACUGGAGAUGCUACAGACAGCCCUGAAGAUACUGAUGUUUCUGAUCAUCAGCUGUUCUAG